This is a non-coding RNA of Peromyscus maniculatus bairdii (prairie deer mouse), 73 nucleotides long. Lineage: Eukaryota; Metazoa; Chordata; Mammalia; Rodentia; Cricetidae. The record is from the annotation of a RefSeq genome assembly.
GACUGGCUAGCUCAGUUGAUAGAGCAUGAGACUUUUAAUCUCAGGGUUAUGGGUUUGAGCCCCAUGUUGGGCA